This 393-nucleotide ribosomal RNA is filed under the name uncultured bacterium. Its description in RNAcentral is "partial 16S ribosomal RNA". It matches the Rfam family "Bacterial small subunit ribosomal RNA", at positions 523 to 918 of the family's 1533-position model. The record is from RNAcentral.
AUACGGAGGAUGCGAGCGUUAUCCGGCUUUAUUGGGUUUAAAGGGAGCGUAGGUGGGAUAUUAAGUCAGCUGUGAAAGUUUGGGGCUCAACCUUAAAAUUGCAGUUGAUACUGGUUUCCUUGAGUACGGUACAGGUGGGCGGAAUUCGUGGUGUAGCGGUGAAAUGCUUAGAUAUCACGAAGAACUCCGAUCGCGAAGGCAGCUCACCGGGCCGGAACUGACACUGAUGCUCGAAAGUGCGGGUAUCAAACAGGAUUAGAUACCCUGGUAGUCCGCACAGUAAACGAUGAAUACUCGCUGUUUGCGAUACACGGUAAGCGGCCAAGCGAAAGCGUUAAGUAUUCCACCUGGGGAGUACGCCGGCAACGGUGAAACUCAAAGGAAUUGACGGGG